This is a non-coding RNA of Acanthosepion pharaonis, 100 nucleotides long. Lineage: Eukaryota; Metazoa; Mollusca; Cephalopoda; Sepiida; Sepiidae. The record is from the annotation of a GenBank genome assembly.
GCGUUAAAACACCGGUUCUCUUAUGAUCACAUGAGUUAAGCAACGUCGAGCCUGGUUAGUAACUUGCUGCGUGACGGCUUGGAAAGUAAAGGUGCUGUAA